Long non-coding RNA from Cyprinus carpio carpio, 1034 nucleotides. The record is from Ensembl. NCBI's taxonomy places the organism in Eukaryota, Metazoa, Chordata, Actinopteri, Cypriniformes, Cyprinidae.
GUUUUACGUUAAACGAUGUUUAAGAAAUCACUGCACAGAUUUUUUUUUUAAAUCUUAUUCAUACUUUCACACACGCAGAUGAUCAUUACCUAAAUAUAAUCACCAAUAGAUUGCAAGUAACCUGUCAAUGAUUUCAUCACUUAAUUUAUUAUAAAGUAAUUUUCUAAUAUUAUAUUGCCCCUUCUAUCGUUUUUCACAAAUCGAUGAGCUAGCAAACGAUCUUAGCUUUCCAAAAAGUGGCCAAGCAGAACAUCUGACCUGGACAUUAACCACCAUCGUGAGCUCUCUCCAUUUGAAAGUGUAUGCGCACAUGUUUUAAGGUGGACACGAUGUUAAGCUCCAACACAGAGUCAGUUUUCUUUGAAACAAAAAUAGGCUCAAGUCGAAUUUAAAUUCUGCUACAUUUCGGUCAGUUCUAACUGGGAUAAUAGCCUAUGCAACGUAUGAUCGCCCUGUGAUCUAUUUGUGGACAGAUCGCAUUAAUUUCCAAAUUACUUUAUACAUCCCACACACCUUUCCCUGUAGGCCUAUAUUAGAACAAACUCUCCAACGCUGUGUUUUAUGAAGUCUAAAUAAAAUUGUGACACGAUCGGAAUGCACGUAUAACAUGGCAGUUGUUUGUGACUAUCGAGUCUACGGAUCCCCCUUAAAUCUGGGCUACGUUUGGUGGGAAUUCCUUUUUGCGCGGCUGGCCAAGGGCUCCCUCCCGUAGAUCCAGCGGGUUUCCCCUCCCCCUCUCCACCUCAGCGGCUGGGUUGGGGAGGGGAGAUCCCCUUGCACGACUCGUCUCCAACCCUGCUACCUAAAGACGCCCGUGAAUUUGCGUUAAGAAGAAUGGCGCGCCUCCGGUGCUUCAAACCCUGUUGUGGAAAUGGACGACGGUGCGCCUACAGAGGAAGAUAUGCAGCACGCUUAAUUGUUCAGUUUCCUGUGGUUUUCUGAGCUCUGCAUGUAAUGACCAAUGAGGAUGUGAAAAGACUAACUGCAGAUUCUAAUGCCCCCACUUUUAAGCCCUUUACAAAUGUUUUGACAGC